Molecule: long non-coding RNA, 1829 nt
Organism: Labrus mixtus (cuckoo wrasse)
Lineage: Eukaryota; Metazoa; Chordata; Actinopteri; Labriformes; Labridae
Exons: 3
Source: RefSeq, a predicted model, not a curated record
AACUUUGACCUCACGUGUUUGUGUCUCUUCAGCUCUGUGUCCUCUCACAGGAAGAUGAUGAUGUGCAGGAUCCUGCUACUCCUCAUGCUGACCUGCUGUGUCUGUGGUUAGUGUGUGUGAGAGAGAGAGAGAGAGAGAGAGAGAGACGUUAGGGGGCGAAGCGUCGAAACCGAAAGUAAACUGUGGGGAUUUCCCGGUUAUUUGCUACGUGCCAAAAAAUGACCUCCGUGAAUUUUUGUCAACAAGAGCAACAAGGAGACUGAAGUGUUGGAGGUGGGUUGAAGAAGAAUUAAGUAGUUGGAGUUUGUAGUCUGACGGUUCUAUCAGGCAAAGGAGAACCAGAACAUCACGCUGGAGUGGACCUUCCCAAGAUGACCCCUCACUUCACUCUCUUCAUAUCUACUGUUUGAUGGUCACUGAUCACAAAGUCUGUGUCCUGUUUGAACUCAUCCGAGGAGUCGAGGUUUCAGAGUCUCAGGAUGAACAGUUUGCAGGACGAGUCCACUGUGACAAAGACGUCCUCAAAGAAGGACGACUCAGACUUCACAUGUCCUCGUUAAGGACUGAAGACUCAGGCCUAUGCAAGUGUGAAGUGAUGACAAACGAUGGUAUGGUCGCUGGUAGAAGCCGUCUUAAUGUGACCGCAGCUGCUCAUGAGCACCAAACUCAGAGACCCAACAGUGAGACCAGGAGCAGAGAGUCUAGGAAGACCUGGUCUCUACAUUGGACUGGGACUGUUACUGUUCCUGCUAGUGUCUUUAAAAAAUGUCUCUUUAAAUCUGCUGAUGAGAGAGAAAACGUCUCUGCAGUCAUGUAUGUUGAAGAAAUUACUAAGACUUGACUCCAUACAAUAAGACUCAGUUGACUCAGAUGGCUUACGUUGAUGAAAGUUUAUUCAUCAGAUGAAUACUCGAGGAGACAUGAUUCAACAUCACACUUCUGUACUCGUGUCUUGCUCAAUCACAUCUGCCGAACUCUUCGAAAGGCAUCACAUAUAUCCUAAAAGACAUAACCAUUAUCAGGGUCGUGUCACAUUGACCCACCUGGACUAAACUGUGAUGUCUAUAACACUGGAGCAGACAACAAGUCUACCAAACAUCCUUGCAGAUAUCAGGAAGAACAGUUGACACUCUCUAAGCUGUACUUGGUGUUCUAAUAACAACUGAACUCUAUCAGGUCUGACUGACAUUAGAGAACAGUGAAUAAACCUAAUGACGUCUGUACAUUAUAAUCUAAAUAACUACAGAAAUUCCACCACAAUGUAGACUCUGUAUUUGUCAGAGAAACAAUCAACCAUCCAUCCAUUACCUGUACCACUUGAUGGUUCUGGGUCAGAUUGGUUGGAGCCAAUUGGGCGAGAGUCGGGGUUACACCCUGGUGUUCACAGGUGUUGGAGCCAAAAUGCUUGUUUUUAUUGAUAAUUUCAAGAGUGUUCUAGCUUUCCCUCUGAUAACUUCCUUGCUGUGAGGAAGUAAUGCUAACCCCCUCACCACUGUGCAGCCGUACAAUCAUCCAGUCGACUUUUAUGAGUAAAGCUCCAAAUAAUUUCAAACGUUACUUCAAGAUGGUUCACAAAAGAGACCCAUCAGGACUACAAGGACCCCUUUCCGUCUGAAUGUGUUGUUCCAGAACCUUUGUUUAGAAUAUCAUGUUAUUGAAAUGUUGCUCAUGUGGUUCAUAUGUUACAUGUAUUCAUCCCCACAGAAGGAUCUAAUGUGGAUUUAACUGAAGCUUCUAUUGUGUUCUGAUGGAUGUUGUUACAAACCUCUGACCUUCAAUAAUCCAUCUUUAUUUAUAAUGUUUAGAGUCUAAAUAAAUCCUCAUGAUCA